UUAAAUUGAAGAGUUUGAUCAUGGCUCAGAUUGAACGCUGGCGGCAGGCUUAACACAUGCAAGUCGAACGGUAACAGAAAGUAGCUUGCUACUUUGCUGACGAGUGGCGGAC
This 112-nucleotide ribosomal RNA is filed under the name Psychromonas sp. B3M02. Its description in RNAcentral is "partial 16S ribosomal RNA". It matches the Rfam family "Bacterial small subunit ribosomal RNA", at positions 1 to 103 of the family's 1533-position model. Lineage: Bacteria; Pseudomonadati; Pseudomonadota; Gammaproteobacteria; Alteromonadales; Psychromonadaceae. The record is from RNAcentral.